AAUUGAUGCUUCUAAUUUUUUAGCCCUCGAAUCAAACACUGUAGGAUUCAGAUGAUAGUGAUUUUUUUUAGGAUUAAAUGAUUUUCUUAAAUUCUAGUGGUCCUAUAAAAAAAUAAUGUUAAUCUAAGAAUUAAAAAUGAUCAAAGGAAUUGAUUCAAGAAUUAAAAACUGAGAAAUGUCAACUACUUAAUACUUUCGGAAGCACUAUAGUGGAACUCUAUAUUUGAAUAUCCACAUCAUUUACCGACCGUCUCUAGCACAAGUGGCAAGAGGGCUUGGUGGUUCGUAUUUGAGACCCAAGUUCGAAUUCUAGUUGAUUCACAUUUCUAGCUAAGUUUAUUUCUAAAUGACAUAAACAAAGCGGAUACUAGCAUGCUACAUUUCUCUCUCAAAAAAAGAAAAAAGAAUAUCCACAUCAUUUAAUUUAAAAUCUCCGGGCUCACAACAAGUGUUUUUUAAUCCAAAAACAUAUUAGGCGGUGUUUGGAUUGGGGAUAAGGGCGAGGGAUAACCCCUUAUCCCUUUUAUACCCAAACGCAAAUUUAAUAGUAAUUUUUGGUUACCUAAAAUAACUUGAUAUAACUAUUUUGCACAAACACCUCUAUUUUUUAUAUAUAACUACUCACUAUUUUUUUUAUUCUAUAUUAUUUAUUCAAAUGUUAUUUUUUUUAUUCUCGAAAAUAACUUAAUUUUUAUUCAAACGUUAUUUUUCUUAUUCUUCAUACUUAUAUCUAUUUUUGUAAUAAUUAAUUUUUUUUUUAUACCCGAGCCAAACGCUACAUCCUACUUUU
RNAcentral lists this long non-coding RNA (790 nucleotides) under Ananas comosus (pineapple). Its description in RNAcentral is "long non-coding RNA (ACOM_LNC007666)". Lineage: Eukaryota; Viridiplantae; Streptophyta; Magnoliopsida; Poales; Bromeliaceae. The record is from RNAcentral.